GACGAACGCUGGCGGCGUGCCUAAUACAUGCAAGUAGAACGCUGAAGAGAGGAGCUUGCUCUUCUUGGAUGAGUUGCGAACGGGUGAGUAACGCGUAGGUAACCUGCCUUGUAGCGGGGGAUAACUAUUGGAAACGAUAGCUAAUACCGCAUAACAAUGGAUGACACAUGUCAUUUAUUUGAAAGGGACAAUUGCUCCACUACAAGAUGGACCUGCGUUGUAUUAGCUAGUAGGUGAGGUAACGGCUCACCUAGGCGACGAUACAUAGCCGACCUGAGAGGGUGAUCGGCCACACUGGGACUGAGACACGGCCCAGACUCCUACGGGAGGCAGCAGUAGGGAAUCUUCGGCAAUGGGGGCAACCCUGACCGAGCAACGCCGCGUGAGUGAAGAAGGUUUUCGGAUCGUAAAGCUCUGUUGUAAGUCAAGAACGAGUGUGAGAGUGGAAAGUUCACACUGUGACGGUAGCUUACCAGAAAAGGGACGGCUAACUACGUGCCAGCAGCCGCGGUAAUACGUAGGUCCCGAGCGUUGUCCGGAUUUAUUGGGCGUAAAGCGAGCGCAGCGGUUUGAUAAGUCUGAAGUUAAGGCUGUGGCUCAACCAUAGUUCGCUUUGGAAACUGUCAAACUUGAGUGCAGAAGGGGAGAGUGGAAUUCCAUGUGUAGCGGUGAAAUGCGUAGAUAUAUGGAGGAACACCGGUGGCGAAAGCGGCUCUCUGGUCUGUAACUGACGCUGAGGCUCGAAAGCGUGGGGAGCGAACAGGAUUAGAUACCCUGGUAGUCCACGCCGUAAACGAUGAGUGCUAGGUGUUGGAUCCUUUCCGGGAUUCAGUGCCGCAGCUAACGCAUUAAGCACUCCGCCUGGGGAGUACGACCGCAAGGUUGAAACUCAAAGGAAUUGACGGGGGCCCGCACAAGCGGUGGAGCAUGUGGUUUAAUUCGAAGCAACGCGAAGAACCUUACCAGGUCUUGACAUCCCGAUGCUAUUUCUAGAGAUAGAAAGUUACUUCGGUACAUCGGUGACAGGUGGUGCAUGGUUGUCGUCAGCUCGUGUCGUGAGAUGUUGGGUUAAGUCCCGCAACGAGCGCAACCCCUAUUGUUAGUUGCCAUCAUUCAGUUGGGCACUCUAGCGAGACUGCCGGUAAUAAACCGGAGGAAGGUGGGGAUGACGUCAAAUCAUCAUGCCCCUUAUGACCUGGGCUACACACGUGCUACAAUGGUUGGUACAACGAGUUGCGAGUCGGUGACGGCAAGCUAAUCUCUUAAAGCCAAUCUCAGUUCGGAUUGUAGGCUGCAACUCGCCUACAUGAAGUCGGAAUCGCUAGUAAUCGCGGAUCAGCACGCCGCGGUGAAUACGUUCCCGGGCCU
RNAcentral lists this ribosomal RNA (1368 nucleotides) under uncultured bacterium. RNAcentral describes it as "bacterial SSU rRNA". It matches the Rfam family "Bacterial small subunit ribosomal RNA", at positions 28 to 1381 of the family's 1533-position model. The record is from RNAcentral.